RNAcentral lists this ribosomal RNA (327 nucleotides) under uncultured eukaryote. RNAcentral's name for it is "partial 18S ribosomal RNA". It matches the Rfam family "Eukaryotic small subunit ribosomal RNA", at positions 1470 to 1796 of the family's 1831-position model. The record is from RNAcentral.
CCCUUAGAUGUUCUGGGCCGCACGCGCGCUACACUGACGAAUGCAACGAGCUUAUAACCUUGGCCGAAAGGUCUGGGUAAUCUCCAAAUUUCGUCGUGAUGGGGAUAGAUUAUUGCAAUUAUCAAUCUUCAACGAGGAAUGCCUAGUAAGCGCAAGUCAUCAGCUUGCGUUGAUUACGUCCCUGCCCUUUGUACACACCGCCCGUCGCUCCUACCGAUUGAAUGGUCCGGUGAAGCGUUCGGACCGUGGCCUUUGGACGGUUCGCCGUCUGUUGGCUGCGGGAAGUUCGUUAAACCUUAUCAUUUAGAGGAAGGAGAANUCGUANCA